UGGCUCAGAACGAACGCUGGCGGCAGGCUUAACACAUGCAAGUCGAGCGCCCCGCAAGGGGAGCGGCAGACGGGUGAGUAACGCGUGGGAACGUACCCUUUACUACGGAAUAACGCAGGGAAACUUGUGCUAAUACCGUAUGUGCCCUUUGGGGGAAAGAUUUAUCGGUAAAGGAUCGGCCCGCGUUGGAUUAGCUAGUUGGUGGGGUAAAGGCCUACCAAGGCGACGAUCCAUAGCUGGUCUGAGAGGAUGAUCAGCCACAUUGGGACUGAGACACGGCCCAAACUCCUACGGGAGGCAGCAGUGGG
This 308-nucleotide ribosomal RNA is filed under the name Rhizobium leguminosarum bv. trifolii. RNAcentral describes it as "bacterial SSU rRNA". It matches the Rfam family "Bacterial small subunit ribosomal RNA", at positions 20 to 358 of the family's 1533-position model. The record is from RNAcentral. Lineage: Bacteria; Pseudomonadati; Pseudomonadota; Alphaproteobacteria; Hyphomicrobiales; Rhizobiaceae.